AGCGCAGCUACCAUGCAGUCGAGCGGUAACAGAUAGAAGCUUGCUCUAUCUGCUGACGAGCGGCGGACGGGGGAGUAAUGCCUAGAUAUCUGCCUAGUCGUGGGGGAUAACAGUUGGAAACGACUGCUAAUACCGCAUACGCCCUACGGGGGAAAGGAGGGGACCUUCGGGCCUUCCGCGAUUAGAUGAGUCUAGGUGGGAUUAGCUUGUUGGUGAGGUAAGAGCUCACCAAGGCGACGAUCCCUAGCUGGUCUGAGAGGAUGAUCAGCCACACUGGGACUGAGACACGGCCCAGACUCCUACGGGAGGCAGCAGUGGGGAAUAUUGCACAAUGGGCGAAAGCCUGAUGCAGCCAUGCCGCGUGUGUGAAGAAGGCCUUCGGGUUGUAAAGCACUUUCAGUUGUGAGGAAAAGUUGGUGGUUAAUACCCAUCAGCCGUGACGUUAGCAACAGAAGAAGCACCGGCUAACUUCGUGCCAGCAGCCGCGGUAAUACGAGGGGUGCAAGCGUUAAUCGGAAUUACUGGGCGUAAAGCGUUCGUAGGUGGUUUGUUAAGCAAGAUGUGAAAGCCCCGGGCUCAACCUGGGAACUGCAUUUUGAACUGGCAGACUAAGAGUCUUGGAGAGGGGAGUGGAAUUUCUGGUGUAGCGGUGAAAUGCGUAGAUAUCAGAAGGAACAUCAGUGGCGAAGGCGACUCCCUGGCCAAAGACUGACGCUCAUGUGCGAAAUGUGCGAAAGUGUGGGUAGCGAACAGGAUUAGAUACCCUGGUAGUCCACACCGUAAACGAUGUCUACUAGCUGUUUGUGGAUUUAAUCCGUGAGUAGCGAAGCUAACGCGAUAAGUAGACCGCCUGGGGAGUACGGCCGCAAGGUUAAAACUCAAAUGAAUUGACGGGGGCCCGCACAAGCGGUGGAGCAUGUGGUUUAAUUCGAUGCAACGCGAAGAACCUUACCAGGUCUUGACAUCCAGAGAACUUACUAGAGAUAGUUUGGUGCCUUCGGGAACUCUGUGACAGGUGCUGCAUGGCUGUCGUCAGCUCGUGUUGUGAAAUGUUGGGUUAAGUCCCGUAACGAGCGCAACCCUUAUCCUUAUUUGCCAGCACGUAAUGGUGGGAACUCUAAGGAGACUGCCGGUGACAAACCGGAGGAAGGUGGGGACGACGUCAAGUCAUCAUGGCCCUUACGACCUGGGCUACACACGUGCUACAAUGGCGAGAACAGAGGGCCGCGAAGCCGCGAGGUGAAGCUAAUCCCAGAAAACUCGUCGUAGUCCGGAUUGGAGUCUGCAACUCGACUCCAUGAAGUCGGAAUCGCUAGUAAUCGCGAAUCAGAAUGUCGCGGUGAAUACGUUCCCGGGCCUUGUACACACCGCCCGUCACACCAUGGGAGUGGAUUGCACCAGAAGUAGCUAGCUUAACCUUCGGGAUGGCGGUUACCACGGUG
RNAcentral lists this ribosomal RNA (1442 nucleotides) under uncultured prokaryote. RNAcentral's name for it is "partial 16S ribosomal RNA". It matches the Rfam family "Bacterial small subunit ribosomal RNA". The record is from RNAcentral.